GACGAACGCUGGCGGCGUGCCUAAUACAUGCAAGUCGAGCGAGUCUGCCUUGAAGAUCGGCGUGCUUGCACUCUGUGAAACAAGAUACAGGCUAGCGGCGGACGGGUGAGUAACACGUGGGUAACCUGCCCAAGAGAUCGGGAUAACACCUGGAAACAGAUGCUAAUACCGGAUAACAACAGAUGAUGCCUAUCCACUGUUUAAAAGAUGGUUCUGCUAUCACUCUUGGAUGGACCUGCGGUGCAUUAGCUAGUUGGUAGGGUAACGGCCUACCAAGGCGAUGAUGCAUAGCCGAGUUGAGAGACUGAUCGGCCACAUUGGGACUGAGACACGGCCCAAACUCCUACGGGAGGCAGAGGUAGAGAAUCUUCCACAAUGGACGCAAGUCUGAUGGAGCAACGCCGCGUGAGUGAAGAAGGGUUUCGGCUCGUAAAGAUCUGUUGUUGGAGAAGAAGGACAGGGGUAGUAACUGACCGUUGUUUGACGGUAAUCAAUUAGAGAGACACGGCUAACUAAGUG
RNAcentral lists this ribosomal RNA (519 nucleotides) under uncultured bacterium. RNAcentral describes it as "partial 16S ribosomal RNA". It matches the Rfam family "Bacterial small subunit ribosomal RNA", at positions 28 to 507 of the family's 1533-position model. The record is from RNAcentral.